UACGGGGGAGCAAGCGUUGUUCGGAUUUACUGGGCGUAAAGGGCGCGUAGGCGGCCACCGCAAGUCACUUGUGAAAUCUCCGGGCUUAACCCGGAAAGGUCAACUGAUACUGCGGGGCUAGAGUGCAGAAGGGGCAACUGGAAUUCUCGGUGUAGCGGUGAAAUGCGUAGAUAUCGAGAGGAACACCUGCGGCGAAGGCGGGUUGCUGGGCUGACACUGACGCUGAUGUGCGAAAGCUAGGGGAGCGAACGGG
Molecule: ribosomal RNA, 253 nt
Filed under: uncultured bacterium
Lineage: Bacteria
Description: partial 16S ribosomal RNA
Rfam family: Bacterial small subunit ribosomal RNA
Source: RNAcentral